GUGAUACGAUGAUGACCGCAUAGUUCAGCAGAUUUCCCAUGAAGAACUAAUAGCAUUGUCUUUCGCUCCUAGCUGAUGUAUCAA
Small nucleolar RNA from Conger conger (European conger), 84 nucleotides. RefSeq annotates it as small nucleolar RNA snR60/Z15/Z230/Z193/J17. The transcript has a single exon. Lineage: Eukaryota; Metazoa; Chordata; Actinopteri; Anguilliformes; Congridae. The record is from RefSeq and is a predicted model, not a curated record.